CACGUAGGAGGCAAACGUUAUCCGGAUUUACUGGGCGUAAAGCGCGUGUAGGUGGUUCUGUAAGUAGGGCGUGAAAGCUCCCGGCUCAACUGGGAGAGGCCGUUCUAAACUGCAGAGCUAGAGGAUGGUAGAGGGAGGUGGAAUUCCAGGUGUAGCGGUGGAAUGCGCAGAUAUCUGGAGGAACACCAGUGGCGAAGGCGGCCUCCUGGACCAUUCCUGACACUCGGACGCGAAAGCUAGGGUAGCAAACGGGAUUAGAUACCCCGUAGUCCCUGAG
RNAcentral lists this ribosomal RNA (277 nucleotides) under uncultured prokaryote. Its description in RNAcentral is "partial 16S ribosomal RNA". It matches the Rfam family "Bacterial small subunit ribosomal RNA", at positions 524 to 801 of the family's 1533-position model. The record is from RNAcentral.